GGGAGUGACAUUUCUCUCCGUUUUAUUUUUCUUGGGUUUCAGCCCAGAUAUUUUCAGACAUCCUGAUCCCAUGAAGAGAAACCAGUGCACACACACUCGCUCUGAUGACGAGAUGUCUCUGUGCUCUGAGCUGUUAGACAGAGAAAUUAACAGGUUUCUGAAGCCGCCCUCUGCCUCUAAACCCAGAGGUCUACGCUGUGCAGGUGUUAGUCUCACACCCCUGAGAAGACCGAGAGAAAUAUACAGUGUUAGGCUCACACCCCUGAGAAGACGGAGAGAAAUAUACAGUAGGAGAAGUGUUCUUUCCCUUAACAUUCAUAAUGUCUGUGCCACAAUAAACAUCUGUAAACUAC
Molecule: long non-coding RNA, 353 nt
Filed under: Sinocyclocheilus anshuiensis
Lineage: Eukaryota; Metazoa; Chordata; Actinopteri; Cypriniformes; Cyprinidae
Description: lncRNA (ENSSANG00000008255.1)
Source: RNAcentral